This 253-nucleotide ribosomal RNA is filed under the name uncultured bacterium. RNAcentral's name for it is "partial 16S ribosomal RNA". It matches the Rfam family "Bacterial small subunit ribosomal RNA", at positions 524 to 776 of the family's 1533-position model. The record is from RNAcentral.
UACAGAGGCCUCGAGCGUUAGGCGGAAUCACUGGGCUUAAAGCGUGUGUAGGCGGACUUCUAAGUACCUUGUGAAAUCCCACGGCUCACCCGUGGAACUGCUUGGUAUACUGGUUGUCUUGAGCCUUCUAGGGGCGAGUGGAACAAAUGGUGGAGCGGUGAAAUGCGUAGAUAUCGUCUGGAACGCCGAAGGUGAAAACAGACUGCUGGGGAUGAGCUGACGCUGAGACACGAAAGCCAGGGGAGCGAACGGG